GGGUGAUUGUUUUCUGUGUCUGUGUGUUCCACACGGAACUGUUUCCGUUUUCCUGUCUGUCUUUUAAUUUGUUAUUUUGUAUUUCCGUGUUCAGUGUUUUUGUUCAUUAAAACAUGAAGAACCCGUACCACGCUGCAUAUUGGUCCGAUCCCGUUACACCCAUAGACUACUUUCAGGGUGAGGAACCAUCUAACAUAACUGUAAAACAAUCAACACCAUCAUGUACUCAGACAGAGUGCUGGUGAUGCAUUCUGGGAAGGUGGUGGAGUUUGACAGCCCUACUGAUCUGUGUCAAAGAGACGACUCCAUUUUCUUCAAGCUGGUUGGUGCGAGGGGGGAGAGAGAGUAGAAGCCAUCAGAGGACUAAUGCAAAUGGGAAAUGUCAAUGGGGAUCUCUCUCUGUUUCCCCACAGGAGACCAGUGGUGGAUGGAAUCGGUGGACCAACCAACCACCCGUCCAAUGGCGGUGGUAGAAGUUGGCCCUAUAAAAAUUACUGGUCCAGGGUUAGAUUUUUUAAAUCCCCAUGAGCGUUAAGGUUAGGAUUGGGGUAGGGAAAUCUGAUCCUAGAUCUGUGGUUAAGUGCGGAGACUUCUUCCUCGCUCGAGGCUCACCGACUGACAUUUGACCUUUGACCUCAGAGAGUAAGGUAUGAAUAAUCCAACCCAAGCAAGAUUAUUAUUUUAUUAUCUUUUAGGAAGUCGGGUUAAUUUUCUAGCUUUUUAUUCAUGAAACGCGUUAAUGUGGUACGAAAGAACUGAUGAUGUGUCAAUAGCACAGAGGUAAUGAAGAAACAAUGAAUAAGUACUUUAAUUGCUUUUGUAUGAAGGGAGUAUACUAUAGCACUAUAAUGGAUUUUGGCUGAAAAGUUGUCAUCCUAGACAGGUCAGUCAUUCACUUUGCAGCAUCAUCAAUCAUUUAUGAAUGUCUGAGAUUUCUCUUGCACCUGGUCUGUUGGCAGUAUGAUCUGUAUAGCUAGAGUGCACAAUAAUGGACAUUCUUCACAUAGAUAAAAUGCAUGUUUACACAUUGUUUGCUGUAUGGACUUGUUGCUGACAAACAGACUGAGAUAUUUCUCUUUGUUUACCAUUCACACAGAGCACAUUUGUUUGGAAGCUCCUCACAGUAUUGUUACGUCUGAGGAUUUCAAGCCAUUCUGUAGCAGAACUACUGUAUAUCAGACAUUUGAGAAUGUUUCUGUUUUGUAAUAUACUGUAAGAGAGAACAUUCAGGGAGAAUCGCCUUUGCAUGCAGCGUUUUCAGUAGUGGUCAGUACUCUCAUGUACAGUAAUAUGAAGGUGUAACAUUUUCAAAAUAAAAUGGCUGCAC
Long non-coding RNA from Oncorhynchus tshawytscha (Chinook salmon), 1327 nucleotides. NCBI's taxonomy places the organism in Eukaryota, Metazoa, Chordata, Actinopteri, Salmoniformes, Salmonidae. The record is from Ensembl.